AUGGCGAUGCAGCAGGGCGGCGGCGAGGGGGAGACGCUGAUGCAGCGGUGCAAGCCGUACGUGGCGAUGAUCUCGCUGCAGUUCGGGUACGCCGGGAUGAACGUGAUCACCAAGGUGUCGCUGAACCACGGCAUGAGCCACUACGUGCUGGUGGUGUACCGCCACGCCUUCGCCACCCUCUCCAUCGCGCCCUUCGCGCUCUUCCUGGAGCGCGGCAAGGCCCGCCCGCGGAUGACCCCCCUCGUCCUCCUCAACAUCUUCCUCCUCGCCCUCAUGGGCCCCGUCAUCGACCAGAACUUCUACUACGCCGGCCUCAAGUACACCUCGCCCACCUUCUCCUGCGCCAUGAGCAACAUGCUCCCCGCCAUGACCUUCGUCAUGGCCGUCAUCUUCCGGAUGGAGAAGGUGGACCUCAAGAAGCCCAGGUGCAUGGCCAAGGUGGCCGGCACGCUCGUCACCGUGGCCGGCGCCAUGCUCAUGACGCUCUACAAGGGCCGCGCCGUGGAGAUGAUCUGGUCCAGGCACGCCCACCUCCCCGGCCCGCACCAGGACGCCGCCGCCGCCGCCAAGGACUGGUUCAAGGGCUCCAUAUUCCUCAUCAUCGCCACCCUCGCAUGGGCCUCCCUCUUCAUCCUCCAGGGCCCGACGCUGACGAGGUACAACGCGCCGCUGACCCUGACGACGCUCAUCUGCUUCGUGGGCACCCUGCAGGCCAUCGUGGUCACCUUGGCCAUGGAGCACACCACCGACGUCUGGAAGAUCGGCUUUGACAUGAACCUCCUCGCCGCAGCAUACGCCGGUAUCGUGACGUCGAGCAUUGCCUACUACGUGCAAGGGCUGGUGAUCCAGAGCAGGGGCCCCGUCUUCGCCUCGGCCUUCAGCCCGCUCAUGAUGAUCGUGGUGGCCAUCAUGGGCUCCUUCAUCCUCGCCGAGAACAUCUACCUCGGAGGGAUCAUCGGGUCCGUGCUGAUCGUGGCCGGGCUCUACUCGGUGCUCUGGGGGAAGCACAAGGAGGACGUGGAGAAGAAGGAGAUCGAGGCGACGGAGAUCCCCGUGGCGAUCAAGGGCGUGGAGGGCAACGGCAGGAUCAUGGACAUGGUGGAGCUGGACGAGGUGGAGCUGGAGAAGGCCCAGGCCAACGGCAAGGCGGUCACCAUCUCGGUGCCGGCCGCCGCCGGGGAAGCCGGCAUGCAGCGCGACGACGAGAACUGA
Molecule: ribosomal RNA, 1212 nt
Filed under: Triticum aestivum (bread wheat)
Lineage: Eukaryota; Viridiplantae; Streptophyta; Magnoliopsida; Poales; Poaceae
Description: partial small subunit ribosomal RNA
Source: RNAcentral